GAUGAACGCUAGCGGCAGGCUUAACACAUGCAAGUCGAGGGGUAGAGGAAGCUUGCUUCCUUGAGACCGGCGCACGGGUGCGUAACGCGUAUACAAUCUACCUUUUACAGAGGGAUAGCCCAGAGAAAUUUGGAUUAAUACCUCAUAGUAUUUUCGGAUCGCAUGAUUUGAUUAUUAAAGUUCCAACGGUAAAAGAUGAGUAUGCGUCCCAUUAGCUAGAUGGUAAGGUAACGGCUUACCAUGGCAAUGAUGGGUAGGGGUCCUGAGAGGGAGAUCCCCCACACUGGUACUGAGACACGGACCAGACUCCUACGGGGAGGCAGCAGUGAGGAAUAUUGGACAAAUGGGCGCAAGCCUGAUCCAGCCAUGCCGCGUGCAGGAAUAAGGUCCUAUGGAUUGUAAACUGCUUUUAUACAGGAAGAAACACACCCUCGUGAGGGUACUUGACGGUACUGUAUGAAUAAGGACGCUAACUCCGUGCCAGCAGCCGCGU
This 493-nucleotide ribosomal RNA is filed under the name uncultured bacterium. RNAcentral's name for it is "bacterial SSU rRNA". It matches the Rfam family "Bacterial small subunit ribosomal RNA", at positions 28 to 520 of the family's 1533-position model. The record is from RNAcentral.